RNAcentral lists this ribosomal RNA (767 nucleotides) under uncultured bacterium. RNAcentral's name for it is "bacterial SSU rRNA". It matches the Rfam family "Bacterial small subunit ribosomal RNA", at positions 96 to 863 of the family's 1533-position model. The record is from RNAcentral.
CGGCAAACGGGUGAGUAACGCGUAAGAAACCUGCCAUUCACAGGGGGAUAGCCUCGGGAAACCGGGAUUAAUACCCCAUGAUACUGGACCAUUACAUGAUGGAUCAGUUAAAGCGUAAAGCGGUGAAUGAUGGUCUUGCGUUCCAUUAGUUAGUUGGUGAGGUAACGGCUCACCAAGACAACGAUGGAUAGGGGAACUGAGAGGUUUAUCCCCCACACUGGAACUGAGACACGGUCCAGACUCCUACGGGAGGCAGCAGUGAGGAAUAUUGGUCAAUGGAGGCAACUCUGAACCAGCCAAGUCGCGUGAAGGAUGACUGCCCUACGGGUUGUAAACUUCUUUUUUAAGGGAAUAAAGUGAGCCACGUGUGGCUUUUUGCAUGUACCUUACGAAUAAGGAUCGGCUAACUCCGUGCCAGCAGCCGCGGUAAUACGGAGGAUCCGAGCGUUAUCCGGAUUUAUUGGGUUUAAAGGGUGCGCAGGCGGAAUAUUAAGUCGGCGGUGAAAGUUUGCAGCUUAACUGUAAAAUUGCCGUUGAUACUGGUAUUCUUGAGUGUAUAUGAAGUAGGCGGAAUUUGUAGUGUAGCGGUGAAAUGCAUAGAUAUUACAAGGAACUCCAAUUGCGAAGGCAGCUUACUAAAUUACAACUGACGCUUAGGCACGAAGGCGUGGGUAUCAAACAGGAUUAGAUACCCUGGUAGUCCACGCAGUAAACGAUGAUUACUCGCUGUUUGCGAUACACAGUAAGCGGCUUAGCGAAAGCGUUAA